Molecule: signal recognition particle RNA, 209 nt
Filed under: Clostridia bacterium
Lineage: Bacteria; Bacillati; Bacillota; Clostridia
Also listed under: 4 other names
Description: signal recognition particle sRNA large type
Rfam family: Bacterial large signal recognition particle RNA (bases 54-204)
About the family: The signal recognition particle (SRP) is a universally conserved ribonucleoprotein involved in the co-translational targeting of proteins to membranes. Archaeal SRP consists of a 7S RNA and homologues of the eukaryotic SRP19 and SRP54 proteins.
Source: RNAcentral
AUUGACAAUAAAAUUUUUAAAUUAUAUAAUAAGCACUGAGUUUAUGUGAGAAUCGAGCGCUCUUAGAUUACCUGCAGGUCGAGGGGACCCUGCGCAAGGGUGAGCCGUGAAUCUUGUCAGGUCCGAGAGGAAGCAGCAAUAAGCGGUCCUUACCCUGUGCCGCAGACCCGUCUUCUCCAAUCUGCAGGUAAUCUAAGGGCGUUGUCUAU